AUGGACGAGACACAACAAAAUCUUUCUUGUACUGUUACUCCUGGUGUAAGGUUCUCUGACGUUCUGCUUCCAGAACAUGCCAAGACGCAGGAGACUGUUUACCGGCCGGGCCACGCUGGUCCUGCCGCCCGCCCGAAUGGGCCCGCAUUAGUCGGGUGCCACCGGUCGGGCGCGGUGGGGACUAGUGGCAGCGGUUCGGUGCCAGCUGCUCUGGGUCGGAGGUGGUUCUGGUUUGCACUUCAUGACGUGAAUUCAAGCAACAUGCUGUUUACAGUCAUAACGCUUUUUCUUUACCUUUAUUUCUUCCAGGGGGUCAAAAACCCACCAUCGAUAUCAAGGUUUGAAAUAAACAACACUUUCUUUGCUACUUUUAAGCUUAAUAAAUCUCUUGAGCCUAUGGUUAACCUCUCUGACAAACAGGUUGUGCUUAACCCUUUGGUUCCUGAUGUAUUUUCUCUUUCCACUAUGUUAGGGGCUGACCAUCUCUCCAGCAUGGGUGUGAAUUUCUCAGGCUGUGACCCGCCGCUUCAGUCAGAGGUCUGCUUUAAUCGUCAGUCCGCCUCAUGCACAAACCGGCUUGUUUCUCGGGGCGCGAUGAAAACAUCAGCCGCCGUGAAGCAUUUGUGGCCUCCAAACGUGGCCAUCUUACCAUUUGAAGGGUUUGCGCACGGACAUCUUGACCUUUCUGUAAAUGACCUUGUCAUUUCUCAGUUUGUGACCUCUGCUAAUACGGUGGCCAAUUCUUUUCUCCUUUCACAGGGGUGUGACUUUGUCUCUGGCCUCUGUGUUCUAUUUCCUGUGAUUUCUCUUUCAGGUGACCACAACGGCGCAGUAAAACCUGCGGUUUCCAGUAGUCAAGUGGUCAGUGGCGAUAUUGAGGGGGCUCCGGUGGUUGCUGCGGGCAUCUCUCUCACGGGCCCGGGGGCGCCACCCGGCCCGGGAGCAGUAGGUGCGUGCAGUGAUGCCCUGCUCGGGGCCCCGCCUGACAAAGGGGGGGUGCCGAGUGGCACUGAGUUUUCAGUUGCGGACUUCAGGCUGUUCGGGGGAAACCCUCCUCCGAGCGGUUGGGUCAUUGGCGAAUUCGACACUGACCUUCCAUCGAUUCAGCUGACAACUUUGACCUCCGACCCGGAGACAGGUGGUACACCUUCUAAAGGGCGGAAUUCUAGUCAGUCUGUAAAUACUCUGGUUAAACCGGGUUUUUCUGAUUCUGUGUGGGAACCUCCAUCAUUCUUGGGAAUAAAGUAUUCUUGGCUUCAGUUUUCAGGGCAGAACAUGUUCCUUUCGAUAGUGUCAUGUCUGUAUCUGAUUCUAAACAUGGCUAGGUUUGCUUUGACACCCGUGACACAACCAUCCUUGGAUCACUCCUUUUCAGAACCUCCUAGUCCGACACCUCCAGGUCUGUGGACAUCUGAACACCUACUCUUUCAGCACGAUUCAGGUGAUGCUGUGCAUCUUCUUGGUAAUAGGGCUUUUAUGAGCUUAGGAACUGUUCUUUGUUAUGCUUCUCCUGUCUCACAGACGCGGCAUAAGUUUGAGAAACAAAAGGGGGGUGGGGAGCCUCCUCCUGCUUUGCGAGCAUCAUUUUCGCAUCUCCAGUUCACUCCAAUUUCUGAUCACAACAAAGUCGCCUCCAUUAAGCUGCAACACAAUUUUGAGCAGGAAAAAACAGGUUCUGAUCUAACAGCUAAACCAUCAGCUUCGCUCCAGUUCCAAACGGGACCCGCAGGUAAAUUCAAACAAGUUUCCCUGUGGGUUCGUAACACCAGAUAUAAACCGCAUGAUGACCAAAUCUAUUAUGACACGGCUCCCACAGAUACGUCCAAACUCGUGUCUGUGGGUCCGCAAUACCAGAUUCAAAACGCUUACUGA
Nothobranchius furzeri (turquoise killifish) is the source of this 1872-nucleotide long non-coding RNA. Lineage: Eukaryota; Metazoa; Chordata; Actinopteri; Cyprinodontiformes; Nothobranchiidae. The record is from Ensembl.